This is a long non-coding RNA of Cyprinus carpio (common carp), 657 nucleotides long. NCBI's taxonomy places the organism in Eukaryota, Metazoa, Chordata, Actinopteri, Cypriniformes, Cyprinidae. The record is from Ensembl.
GAGCGACUCUAUGAGGUUCGGCUGUUUCCCCUGGAACAGUUCUUCAGGUGACUUCAGAAGACAGAGGAAGAGUGUCAACAUGGUCAGGGACCCUUGCCCUUUGACCUCAGGGUGUCCAGCUUGACCUCCCUGGCCCUUCAUGAGACUUACCCUGGGUGUCAAGCCAAGGUUCUGCAGGUUCUUGCUGUCCUCCUCCUUUCUUCCCUGCUGCACUGGAGAGAUGGGAUCACGUCUUUGAGCUGUCAGGAGUUUCUAGAGUAUCCACUCGCAUUGCUGGACCUCUACACACAGCGGGAGCUCAGUGAGGCUGCAGUGGUCUGUCUGAGCAAAUGGGAGGUGCUGGUCGUGUAGGGCUGCGGUGAGGAACAACCUGCAGAAGUCAAACUCAUGUCAGCAGAGGUGCUGGUGAAGGCAGUCCCUACCUUACUGACGGCACCAGCCCUGCCUCUGGGCGAGUGGACAUCUAUGGACAAGAACAAGAUGAAGAUAAGGAUGUCAGGGACGGAGCAGCUGACUUCACCUGCUACACACCGGCCCAUUUACACAACACAGAUGUUGCCACGGGUGCCGUCUCUCCUCCGGUUGCCCUGGAGAUGGGGGUGGGUCUUCUAUGCUAGCUGUUCCAGAUGUGGGGCCAGGUGGCUGCUGCAAUGGUGA